CAGGGAGACAACAAAAUGUUUAAUAUUAUUAUUUUGUCACCUUAGGUCGAUCGGUAUCUCACGUUCUUAAUUUAUUAAGAAUUUCAUUUCCUAAGUUUUUCUAGGUCACACCCAUUUUUUUUCCUGGGCCAUUAGCUCAGGUGGUUAGAGCGCACCCCUGAUAAGGGUGAGGUCCCUGGUUCAAGUCCAGGAUGGCCCAUAUCUCUAUGUUGGGGGUAUAGCUCAGUUGGUAGAGCGCCUGCUUUGCAAGCAGGAUGUCAGCGGUUCGAGUCCGCUUACCUCCACUGAUUACCACCUCUUCCAUAAUCUGUAGAAAGGAAAAUUUUUGAGUUGUGAUAAUAGUUCUGAACGAAUCUAGCUUCCUAAUGAAAACAUUAAGAUGCUGGACUCAUUGAAUUAAUUUCAUUGUUUUCAGAGAACCUUGACAACUGCAUAGAUUAUUUUUAAAGACAAUAAGCAUCUUUAAUGAUGCAGAUUUAUUAUUUGUGCAAAUGCAUUAAUAACAAUUCUAUUAAGCUGAUGCUUCAAUUUUGAAGUUAUU
This 541-nucleotide transfer RNA is filed under the name uncultured cyanobacterium. Its description in RNAcentral is "partial 16S-23S ribosomal RNA intergenic spacer". The stretch from base 212 to 284 matches the Rfam family "tRNA". The record is from RNAcentral. Lineage: Bacteria; Bacillati; Cyanobacteriota.